UACGUAGGGCGCAAGCGUUGUCCGGAAUUAUUGGGCGUAAAGAGCUCGUAGGCGGUCUGUCGCGUCGGAUGUGAAAGCCCGGGGCUUAACCCCGGGUCUGCAUUCGAUACGGGCAGACUAGAGUGUGGUAGGGGAGAUCGGAAUUCCUGGUGUAGCGGUGAAAUGCGCAGAGAUCGGGAGGAACACCCGUAGCGAAGGCGGUUCUCUGGGCCGAUACUGACGCUGAGGAGCGAAAGCGUGGGGAGCGAGCAGG
RNAcentral lists this ribosomal RNA (253 nucleotides) under uncultured bacterium. RNAcentral describes it as "partial 16S ribosomal RNA". It matches the Rfam family "Bacterial small subunit ribosomal RNA", at positions 524 to 776 of the family's 1533-position model. The record is from RNAcentral.